Molecule: ribosomal RNA, 422 nt
Filed under: uncultured bacterium
Lineage: Bacteria
Description: bacterial SSU rRNA
Rfam family: Bacterial small subunit ribosomal RNA
Source: RNAcentral
AUAUUGGACAAUGGGCGCAAGCCUGAUCCAGCAAUGCCGCGUGUGUGAAGAAGGCCUUCGGGUUGUAAAGCACUUUAAGCAGGGAAGAAAAAACUCGAGCUAACAUCUUGAGUCUUGACGGUACCUGAAGAAUAAGCACCGGCUAACCCUGUGCCAGCAGCCGCGGUAAUACAGAGGGUGCAAGCGUUAAUCGGAUUUACUGGGCGUAAAGGGUGUGUAGGUGGUUUGACAAGUCGGUUGUGAAAUCCCCGGGCUCAACCUGGGAACUGCUUCCGAGACUGUUUGACUAGAGUACGGUAGAGGGCGGUGGAAUUUCCGGUGUAGCGGUGAAAUGCGUAGAUAUCGGAAGGAACACCAAUGGCGAAGGCAGCCGCCUGGGCCUGUACUGACACUGAAACACGAAAGCGUGGGGAUCAAACAGG